AGAGUUUGAUCCUGGCUCAGAUUGAACGCUGGCGGCAUGCCUUACACAUGCAAGUCGAACGGCAGCACGGGAGCUUGCUCCUGGUGGCGAGUGGCGAACGGGUGAGUAAUAUAUCGGAACGUACCCUAGAGUGGGGGAUAACGCAGCGAAAGUUGCGCUAAUACCGCAUACGAUCUACGGAUGAAAGUGGGGGAUCGCAAGACCUCAUGCUCAUGGAGCGGCCGAUAUCUGAUUAGCUAGUUGGUAGGGUAAAAGCCUACCAAGGCUUCGAUCAGUAGCUGGUCUGAGGAGGACGACCAGCCACACUGGAACUGAGACACGGUCCAGACUCCUACGGGAGGCAGCAGUGGGGAAUUUUGGACAAUGGGCGCAAGCCUGAUCCAGCAAUGCCGCGUGAGUGAAGAAGGCCUUCGGGUUGUAAAGCUCUUUUGUCAGGGAAGAAACGGUGGACUCUAAUACAGAUCACUAACGACGGUACCUGAAGAAUAAGCACCGGCUAACUACGUGCCAGCAGCCGCGGUAAUA
Molecule: ribosomal RNA, 525 nt
Filed under: uncultured bacterium
Lineage: Bacteria
Description: bacterial SSU rRNA
Rfam family: Bacterial small subunit ribosomal RNA
Source: RNAcentral